This 22-nucleotide non-coding RNA is filed under the name Arabidopsis thaliana (thale cress). Lineage: Eukaryota; Viridiplantae; Streptophyta; Magnoliopsida; Brassicales; Brassicaceae. The record is from RNAcentral.
AGAACUUAACCGCAACCGGAUC